Felis catus (domestic cat) is the source of this 394-nucleotide long non-coding RNA. RefSeq lists it as uncharacterized. NCBI's taxonomy places the organism in Eukaryota, Metazoa, Chordata, Mammalia, Carnivora, Felidae. The transcript has 2 exons. The record is from RefSeq and is a predicted model, not a curated record.
CUAGGCAGCAAGGGCUAACAGGAAUAGUCUCUAAUCAAUACCAAAGUAAAGAAGUAACAAUAAAACAGAAAGGACAUUGGGAACUAUGUUCUCUAGUCUUAGCUCUGCCUCCAGUUAAUUGUGUGGGUUCAGCAGAAACUUGAUCAUGUGGGCUCCCUGCUCAAAAUCUGUCAGGCUCCUAUUGUCUACUGCCAAAAGAACAAUUCAAGUUCCUCAUGCUUGAAGCUCUUCAUGUGGCCCAGCUCCUCCCUCACUACCGCCACCUCUUCCUGUCUAGAACCCUGUCUGAUCACACUGACCACGAGUCCUUACUGAGAUGCCAUUCCCCUUCUCCCUCGGGAUGCUCGUCUCCUAAAUGGCAGGGGCUGAGUAAAGCUGUUUUGUGCAGGUUGCA